GGUUAAGCGACUAAGCGUACACGGUGGAUGCCCUGGCAGUCAGAGGCGAUGAAGGACGUGCUAAUCUGCGAAAAGCGUCGGUAAGGUGAUAUGAACCGUUAUAACCGGCGAUGUCCGAAUGGGGAAACCCAGUGCAAUUCGUUGCACUAUCGUUAACUGAAUACAUAGGUUAACGAGGCGAACCGGGGGAACUGAAACAUCUAAGUACCCCGAGGAAAAGAAAUCAACCGAGAUUCCCCCAGUAGCGGCGAGCGAACGGGGAGCAGCCCAGAGUCUGAAUCAGCUUGUGUGUUAGUGGAACGGUCUGGAAAGUCCGACGGUACAGGGUGAUAGUCCCGUACACCAAAAUGCACAGGUUGUGAACUCGAAGAGUAGGGCGGGACACGUGGUAUCCUGUCUGAAUAUGGGGGGACCAUCCUCCAAGGCUAAAUACUCCUGACUGACCGAUAGUGAACCAGUACCGUGAGGGAAAGGCGAAAAGAACCCCGGCGAGGGGAGUGAAAAAGAACCUGAAACCGUGUACGUACAAGCAGUGGGAGCACCUUCGGGUGUGACUGCGUACCUUUUGUAUAAUGGGUCAGCGACUUAUAUUCUGUAGCAAGGUUAACCGUAUAGGGGAGCCGCAGGGAAACCGAGUCUUAACUGGGCGUUAAGUUGCAGGGUAUAGACCCGAAACCCGGUGAUCUAGCCAUGGGCAGGUUGAAGGUUGGGUAACACUAACUGGAGGACCGAACCGACUAAUGUUGAAAAAUUAGCGGAUGACUUGUGGCUGGGGGUGAAAGGCCAAUCAAACCGGGAGAUAGCUGGUUCUCCCCGAAAGCUAUUUAGGUAGCGCCUCGUGAAUUCAUCUUCGGGGGUAGAGCACUGUUUCGGCUAGGGGGUCAUCCCGACUUACCAACCCGAUGCAAACUACGAAUACCGAAGAAUGUUAUCACGGGAGACACACGGCGGGUGCUAACGUCCGUCGUGAAGAGGGAAACAACCCAGACCGCCAGCUAAGGUCCCAAAGUCAUGGUUAAGUGGGAAACGAUGUGGGAAGGCACAGACAGCCAGGAUGUUGGCUUAGAAGCAGCCAUCAUUUAAAGAAAGCGUAAUAGCUCACUGGUCGAGUCGGCCUGCGCGGAAGAUGUAACGGGGCUAAACCAUGCACCGAAGCUGCGGCAGCGACACUAUGUGUUGUUGGGUAGGGGAGCGUUCUGUAAGCCUGCGAAGGUGUGCUGUGAGGCAUGCUGGAGGUAUCAGAAGUGCGAAUGCUGACAUAAGUAACGAUAAAGCGGGUGAAAAGCCCGCUCGCCGGAAGACCAAGGGUUCCUGUCCAACGUUAAUCGGGGCAGGGUGAGUCGACCCCUAAGGCGAGGCCGAAAGGCGUAGUCGAUGGGAAACAGGUUAAUAUUCCUGUACUUGGUGUUACUGCGAAGGGGGGACGGAGAAGGCUAUGUUAGCCGGGCGACGGUUGUCCCGGUUUAAGCAUGUAGGCUGGUUGUCCAGGCAAAUCCGGAUAAUCAAGGCUGAGGUGUGAUGACGAGGCACUACGGUGCUGAAGUAACAAAUGCCCUGCUUCCAGGAAAAGCCUCUAAGCAUCAGGUAACAUCAAAUCGUACCCCAAACCGACACAGGUGGUCAGGUAGAGAAUACCAAGGCGCUUGAGAGAACUCGGGUGAAGGAACUAGGCAAAAUGGUGCCGUAACUUCGGGAGAAGGCACGCUGGUGUGUAGGUGAAGCCCCUGCGGGUGGAGCUGAGACCAGUCGAAGAUACCAGCUGGCUGCAACUGUUUAUUAAAAACACAGCACUGUGCAAACACGAAAGUGGACGUAUACGGUGUGACGCCUGCCCGGUGCCGGAAGGUUAAUUGAUGGGGUUAUCCGUAAGGAGAAGCUCUUGAUCGAAGCCCCGGUAAACGGCGGCCGUAACUAUAACGGUCCUAAGGUAGCGAAAUUCCUUGUCGGGUAAGUUCCGACCUGCACGAAUGGCGUAAUGAUGGCCAGGCUGUCUCCACCCGAGACUCAGUGAAAUUGAACUCGCUGUGAAGAUGCAGUGUACCCGCGGCAAGACGGAAAGACCCCGUGAACCUUUACUAUAGCUUGACACUGAACAUUGAGCCUUGAUGUGUAGGAUAGGUGGGAGGCUUUGAAGCGUGGACGCCAGUCUGCGUGGAGCCAACCUUGAAAUACCACCCUUUAAUGUUUGAUGUUCUAACGUUGGCCCCUUAUCGGGGUUGCGGACAGUGUCUGGUGGGUAGUUUGACUGGGGCGGUCUCCUCCCAAAGCGUAACGGAGGAGCACGAAGGUUAGCUAAUCCUGGUCGGACAUCAGGAGGUUAGUGCAAUGGCAUAAGCUAGCUUGACUGCGAGCGUGACGGCGCGAGCAGGUGCGAAAGCAGGUCAUAGUGAUCCGGUGGUUCUGAAUGGAAGGGCCAUCGCUCAACGGAUAAAAGGUACUCCGGGGAUAACAGGCUGAUACCGCCCAAGAGUUCAUAUCGACGGCGGUGUUUGGCACCUCGAUGUCGGCUCAUCACAUCCUGGGGCUGAAGUAGGUCCCAAGGGUAUGGCUGUUCGCCAUUUAAAGUGGUACGCGAGCUGGGUUUAGAACGUCGUGAGACAGUUCGGUCCCUAUCUGCCGUGGGCGCUGGAGAAUUGAGGGGGGCUGCUCCUAGUACGAGAGGACCGGAGUGGACGCAUCACUGGUGUUCGGGUUGUCAUGCCAAUGGCACUGCCCGGUAGCUAAAUGCGGAAGAGAUAAGUGCUGAAAGCAUCUAAGCACGAAACUUGCCCCGAGAUGAGUUCUCCCUGAGACUUUAAGUCUCCUGAAGGAACGUUGAAGACGACGACGUUGAUAGGCCGGGUGUGUAAGCGCAGCGAUGCGUUGAGCUAACCGGUACUAAUGAACCGUGAGGCUUAACCUU
Molecule: ribosomal RNA, 2902 nt
Filed under: Klebsiella pneumoniae
Lineage: Bacteria; Pseudomonadati; Pseudomonadota; Gammaproteobacteria; Enterobacterales; Enterobacteriaceae
Description: 23S ribosomal RNA
Rfam family: Bacterial large subunit ribosomal RNA
Source: RNAcentral